GUCCUCUUCGUCUAGAGGCCUAGGACAUCGCCCUUUCACGGCGGUAACAGGGGUUCGAAUCCCCUAGGGGACGCCA
RNAcentral lists this transfer RNA (76 nucleotides) under Arsenophonus endosymbiont of Bemisia tabaci Q2. RNAcentral's name for it is "tRNA-Glu". It matches the Rfam family "tRNA". Rfam says of the family: Transfer RNA (tRNA) molecules are approximately 80 nucleotides in length. RNAcentral also lists the same sequence under 1 other name. The record is from RNAcentral. Lineage: Bacteria; Pseudomonadati; Pseudomonadota; Gammaproteobacteria; Enterobacterales; Morganellaceae.